CGCGAACUUUUAAACCUUUGACGAUUGACUCACGUUGCCUCGGCGGGUUCGCCCGCCAGAGGAUACAUCAAAACUCCUGUUUUAACGGUGUUGUCUGAGCUACAAGCAACGAAUUAAAACUUUCAACAACGGAUCUCUUGGUUCUGGCAUCGAUGAAGAACGCAGCGAAAUGCGAUAAGUAGUGUGAAUUGCAGAAUUCAGUGAAUCAUCGAAUCUUUGAACGCACAUUGCGCCCCUUGGUAUCCCGAGGGGCAUGCCUGUUCGAGCGUCAUUUCACCAUUCAAGCCUGGCUUGGUGUUGGGCGACGUCCCCUUUGGGGACGCGCUUCGAAACGCUCGGCGGCGUGGCACCGGCUUUAAGCGUAGCAGAAUCUUUCGCUUUGAAAGUCGGGGCCCCGUCUGCCGGAAGACCUACUCAAGGUUGACCUCGGAUCAGGUAGGGAUACCCGCUGAACUUAAGCAUAUCAAUAAG
This 471-nucleotide ribosomal RNA is filed under the name uncultured fungus. RNAcentral's name for it is "eukaryotic LSU rRNA". The stretch from base 118 to 271 matches the Rfam family "5.8S ribosomal RNA". Lineage: Eukaryota; Fungi. The record is from RNAcentral.